AGCACUAACUCUACAAACAGUUAUUGGCUUUGUAUAUCUGCAGUUAAACCACAUGAUUCAGCAAUUAAGUAAAAACUAGUACCAUCCAUGAAAACAACAAAUUAAAGAGAUACAAAACUCUCCUACUCUCGAAAAAUCUGAAAUUUUUCCACAGCCACUAACUAACAUCAACUAUCCUACCAUUAACACCCUUUACACACUUCAAAUCUUCACCAUUACCAUGGUUGUUAUCUUUAACAAUAGCAUUCCCAUUACCAUUACCUCUAACAACAAAAUGAGAACCCCCAUUAUUGUUUACAGUCACAGAGGAUCCACAUUGGGACAAUGGCGCCAGAGACACCACCAACGAAACCCCAAUCUUAUUAUUUUGCCCAUUCAAGUUCUCUUUUUUACAGACAAUACUAUGAUUCACCUGAACCUUCUGAUUAUUACUCCCCAAAUUCCUUGACCUAGAAACCUCAAUAGAACCCCGGAGACGCUGCAACGUAUCGACACGCACCAGUGCCUCCCUGGCCCUCUUCCUGGCCGCGGCAGACUCGCGAACACUCCUAUCAGCUUUCACUCUGGCAGCAGCCAGAGCCCUGGUUACCGAAGCCGAAGCGAUCUUCACGGCACAGAGGAACACAAUGGCAUGCUUUUGAUCAAGCACAUGGUGGGCAUUACUGGGGUUGAUGAAUUUAAACUCAAGAGUGGAGCAUGGAGGGCAGAGGAAAGAUGAGGGAGGAAGGUGAGGGGAUCAAUGACAGAAUCUAUUAUCCAGAGUUCCAGUAACCACCUUAUAAGUAACAUUACAAAGUGAUAUGGUCUAAAACUCAAGACAAUUCUUAACAAAAUUGACAUCCUCAAAUAACUUGUCAAAUAAGCUCAUUUAUAAACACUAUUGGAUAGCUUAUUUUUUGG
This 900-nucleotide long non-coding RNA is filed under the name Lupinus angustifolius (narrow-leaved blue lupine). Its description in RNAcentral is "long non-coding RNA (LANG_LNC001350)". Lineage: Eukaryota; Viridiplantae; Streptophyta; Magnoliopsida; Fabales; Fabaceae. The record is from RNAcentral.